RNAcentral lists this ribosomal RNA (468 nucleotides) under uncultured bacterium. RNAcentral describes it as "partial 16S ribosomal RNA". It matches the Rfam family "Bacterial small subunit ribosomal RNA", at positions 28 to 507 of the family's 1533-position model. The record is from RNAcentral.
GACGAACGCUGGCGGCGUGCUUAACACAUGCAAGUCGAACGGAAAGGCCCUGCUUUUGUGGGGUGCUCGAGUGGCGAACGGGUGAGUAACACGUGUGUAACCUGCCCUUGAUUUUGGGAUAACUUCAGGAAACUGGGGCUAAUCCCGGAUAGGAGAUCCUGCGGCAUGGUGGGGGUUGGAAAGUUUCGGCGGUUGGGGAUGGACUCGCGGCUUAUCAGCUUGUUGGUUGGGUAGUGGCUUACCAAGGCGUUGACGGGUCGCCGGCCUGAGAGGGUGACCGGCCACAUUGGGACUGAGAGACGGCCCAGACGCCUACGGGAGGCAGCAGUGGGGAAUAUUGCACAAUGGGCGGAAGCCUGAUGCAGCAACGCCGCGUGCGGGAUGACGGCCUUCGGGUUGUAAACCGCUUUCGCCUGUGACGAAGCGUGAGUGACGGUAAUGGGUAAAGAAGCACCGGCUAACUACGUG